This is a small nucleolar RNA of Talpa occidentalis (Iberian mole), 130 nucleotides long. RefSeq annotates it as small nucleolar RNA SNORA70. The record is from RefSeq and is a predicted model, not a curated record. NCBI's taxonomy places the organism in Eukaryota, Metazoa, Chordata, Mammalia, Eulipotyphla, Talpidae. The transcript has a single exon.
CUGCAGCCAAUUAAGCCAACCAUGCUUUUUGCCCCAUGGGGCUCAGGGUGCAGUGGCUGCAAACAGCAGUAUCCUUGGCUACGUAUCAGUCUGCUCGUAUGGGUUGCCCUAAUGAACCUUAAAGACAGCU